CCUACGGGAGGCAGCAGUGGGGAAUAUUGGGCAAUGGGCGCAAGCCUGACCCAGCGACGCCGCGUGAGGGAAGACGGUCUUCGGAUUGUAAACCUCUGUUGCAGGGGAAGAAUAAAGUGACGGUACCCUGCUAGAAAGCCCCGGCAAACUACGUGCCAGCAGCCGCGGUAAU
This 172-nucleotide ribosomal RNA is filed under the name uncultured bacterium. Its description in RNAcentral is "partial 16S ribosomal RNA". It matches the Rfam family "Bacterial small subunit ribosomal RNA", at positions 338 to 524 of the family's 1533-position model. The record is from RNAcentral.